GGCGGUGGAGUGCGGCGAGCCGGACUGAAGUGACAGAGGCGGCGACGGCGGUGGAGUGCGGCGAGCCGAACUGGAACGACGGCGGGCGAUGGAGUGCGGCGAGCCGAACUGGAACUGGAGGCUGCACUGCCGCUGCUGCUGGCGGGCGAGCGAGCGCGGCGUGACGGCGGCCGAUGGAGGGAGAGAAGCAGGGAGCGAGGCAGGGACGGCGAGCGAAGCAGGGAGGGCGAGCGAAGCAGAGAUCGGCGAUGGAGGUGAGGCACGCCGACUCCAGCAGGAUCCUCGCUGCAGUGCCCUCGUUGUUUUCGGCGAUGGAGGUGAGAUGGG
RNAcentral lists this long non-coding RNA (327 nucleotides) under Salvia miltiorrhiza (redroot sage). RNAcentral's name for it is "long non-coding RNA (SMIL_LNC014130)". Lineage: Eukaryota; Viridiplantae; Streptophyta; Magnoliopsida; Lamiales; Lamiaceae. The record is from RNAcentral.